AGCCCUGUAGCUCAGUUGGUCAGAGCAGAGGACUCAUAAUCCUUUGGUCCACGGUUCAAGUCCGUGCGGGGCUACCA
Molecule: transfer RNA, 77 nt
Filed under: Azonexus sp.
Lineage: Bacteria; Pseudomonadati; Pseudomonadota; Betaproteobacteria; Rhodocyclales; Azonexaceae
Description: tRNA-Ile
Rfam family: tRNA
About the family: Transfer RNA (tRNA) molecules are approximately 80 nucleotides in length. Their secondary structure includes four short double-helical elements and three loops (D, anti-codon, and T loops).
Source: RNAcentral